RNAcentral lists this ribosomal RNA (465 nucleotides) under Vreelandella stevensii. Its description in RNAcentral is "partial 16S ribosomal RNA". It matches the Rfam family "Bacterial small subunit ribosomal RNA", at positions 338 to 795 of the family's 1533-position model. The record is from RNAcentral. Lineage: Bacteria; Pseudomonadati; Pseudomonadota; Gammaproteobacteria; Oceanospirillales; Halomonadaceae.
CCUACGGGUGGCAGCAGUGGGGAAUAUUGGACAAUGGGGGGAACCCUGAUCCAGCCAUGCCGCGUGUGUGAAGAAGGCCCUCGGGUUGUAAAGCACUUUCAGUGAGGAAGAACGCCUGGUGGUUAAUACCCAUCAGGAAAGACAUCACUCACAGAAGAAGCACCGGCUAACUCCGUGCCAGCAGCCGCGGUAAUACGGAGGGUGCGAGCGUUAAUCGGAAUUACUGGGCGUAAAGCGCGCGUAGGUGGCUUGAUAAGCCGGUUGUGAAAGCCCCGGGCUCAACCUGGGAACGGCAUCCGGAACUGUCAAGCUAGAGUGCAGGAAAGGAAGGUAGAAUUCCCGGUGUAGCGGUGAAAUGCGUAGAGAUCGGGAGGAAUACCAGUGGCGAAGGCGGCCUUCUGGACUGACACUGACACUGAGGUGCGAAAGCGUGGGUAGCAAACAGGAUUAGAUACCCUUGUAGUC